RNAcentral lists this ribosomal RNA (2982 nucleotides) under Triticum aestivum (bread wheat). RNAcentral's name for it is "partial small subunit ribosomal RNA". Lineage: Eukaryota; Viridiplantae; Streptophyta; Magnoliopsida; Poales; Poaceae. The record is from RNAcentral.
AUGUCCAGCAGAGAUUACUCUGUUCAUGCUGAUUUAAUAUGUGGCGAAUCUACUGCUCCUAAUACGGAUCUCGUGGACAGCAGUACAGAUGGAUGGGACAAAAGACCAAUCCACGAAGUUGAGGUAGAAGUCGUCCUGCCUCCCGCGACUCCGCUGGCGGCCGCCGCCGCCGCCACUGCGCAGCCCCCUCCGCCGCCCUCGCCCAUGGCCCCCGUAGCCCCCGCCGCCUCCCCCGCCGCCGCCCCUCCUCCUCCCCCUCCCAGCCCGGCCGGGGAUGAAGGCCCUGACCCGGAUCCCGACCCGCGCUCCUCUCCGGCGACGGCGCCGCCCGAGCCUGGAGAAGGUGGCUGCUCCCCCUCCCAGGAAGGAUGCUGGACUGCCUCGCACUUUCAAGCAGAGGACUUUCGGCCUCUGCUUUCGGUGCUUGGCGUCGGACCACUUCGUCGCGGGCUGCCGCGGCCCUGUCCGGUGCUUGGGAUGUGGCCACUCCGGGCAUCGCGAGCGGGAGUGCUUGGCACGGCAUCCUGCCGGUUCAGAACCUCGCCGUCCCCCCUCGCGCCUACCGGGCCUCGUCAGCGGCCUCCCCCCUCCAGCGGCUCGCCUCCAGCCCCACUUCAUCGACCUGGUCGCACUUGGGCUUCGGUGGUCUCUCAUCAAGACAACCCUGCGACUGAUGGUGUCGUGCCGGCGGCUGUCCCCGGCGUGCCUCCUACUGUUUUGGAGCCCUUGCGGCCUCUCCUUGCAGCUCAGGCGGAGGCGCUCGGCGCUGAGUUACAGGCCUUGUUCGCUGCUCGUCUUGAGGUGCUGUUCAAGCCUCUUCAAGACUUGGUUGCUGCUGUGGAGAGUUGGACUGCUCAAGUCUCAAGCCUAUGGGAACCUAUGGAAGCUAUCGGGGGCAGCCAAGACCUUGCCAAUGUUGAAUCUGCUCCUCCUGCUAUGGCCGUUGGUGAGGAUUGCAGUGCGCUUGUUGUGGCUGGCUGCUCAGCUGAGUUGAGUGAGAAGGUUCAGUCCGUUGAUGAUCCACCUGCCUUGGAAAAGGUCAUGCUCGAGGAUGAUCCUCCUGACUUGGCUUCUGUCCUACCCGGGAUGUCGACACUGGAGGAGCCGAAGGUUUCCAGUGCUCCUUGCACCGGGAAGCCUUCAAAGGAGCUGAUCCAGAUGGGUGCAGAUGAGCCUCUUGGGAGAGCCUCCUCUCCGUGGGAGGAGUUCCUCGAAGAGCUUGCUCUCACUGCGUCGAGCUCGCCGCAAGUUUUGCAGGUGGGAGAGGCUGCCCCUUCUCUCUUUGAGCGACGAAGCUGUCGUUUGGACAAGAAAAACAAAGAUUGCGACAUUCCUGUAGCCAAGCGCGCGGAGUAUAGGCGGGCGGAGGCCUUUGGGGAGGUUCCAACACUCAAGAGCAAAGGAAAAGCAUCUGAGGAAGACCUGAAUGAGAAGAUGCAACACUAUCUGCAGAUGUACAAGAAGGAACACACGCCCAAGGUGAUCGAGGCGGGAGUUUUAUUUUCUAUUGAUAGGUUCGUUCUUGAUGUCUGGAAUGUUUUCUUUUUGCAACAAAAUUAUGCUUGUGGCAUUCGAACCUGGGCUGUGCUUCGUCCAUUUGUCUAUGUACUCAUUAGUAUGAUAUUUGAGCAUUGGAGGUAUCAGGAUGCAAACAUGCGUAGGAAGUAUGUUUCUGGGAGAUCCAACACAAGUGUGGCAUGGGUGGCCGUGUUCGCAUUAAUCGAGUACAAAACAAGGUGGCACUGGCCUCCCUUGGUCUAUGCGGACGGGCAGGCGACCCUUGAUGACCACGACAAGGAGGUUAGGCGCGGCGGUCCACAUGCAAGCAUGUCCCUGUGGGCGUUCGCUGCUUGUGGCGCAGAAGGGAGUUUCCAAGCGUCAUUGGGCCAUAUCUGCCAUGCCUACGUCCUGGAAGCCCCAACCACUCGCAUCAUCGGUUGGGAUGGAGCCAACCGUGAUGUCCAGGGAAAGCACGGGAGGAAUAAAUCUUCAAGACGACGCCCCAAAGGGGGAUGCUACGUGGAAACAACGCCGUUGUCCGACCUUGGAAUAUGGCCAUCGGCUUUCACUCGAAGACGACCCCGAGGAUGGACAAGGCUAGAAGCUCCACGACAACUCUUCAGGAGGGAAAAACGACGUCCACGGAAGCCAUGUCGUCAGAGUCGACACAAGCCACGUAGGCCAUCGCCCAGAGCAACUUGCCUCCACACUCCACAUAACCACCCACCAGCAGGAAAACCUGCAGCCGAUCUGCAAACCCGCUGGCCCACGCACCCCUGGCGCUAUAUUGAUGGCUGCGCCAUCGGCAGGUCGGCAAGCCAGCCCGCACAAGGAGGAGGGGCCGCCACCCCACUCCAUCACUCUGGAUUGAGGCGCCAGAUCCGCAACCCGUCGCCGAACCAGCAUCGACAGUCGUCAUCCAGAGGCCGGACCGGAAGGGCACCACGCGGUCUACCAGAUCGGGGCUGCCGGGACCCCGCCACCAAGGUCGUGUGUCAUAGGCACCCGUGCCGAGCCUCCCACCACCGAGGGCACGCCCAGCAGCGCGAGGGAACGCCCCGUCGAUGCCGUCAACCGGUCGGGCCUAGCCCGGUGGCAUCAUCCGAUGACGGCGAGGGGAGGAAGAGCGAUGGGAUGGGCCUGGGGUGGCGGUUAGGACACGCAGAGGUUGAAGCCUACAACCUCCUCCCCCUCCAAAAAAAACACGAUGAGCAAACAUCUCUUGGCUGGUGUUGGGCAUCUUCAAGGCGGACCCCCAAACCACUCGCAUGCAUCCGCACAGCACUGUUCGGACCGCGGAAGCCAACCAACACGGGCCUGUAUCGGUCUGCAGGACGGUCCGGACGUGUUUUCUUGCGUAAACCAGAGACAAACAUUGGGCGCCCAACCCCCACCACACUUUCCUUCCAAUGCAUGCGCCAAGCACCGCGCUGUAUUCAUGCCGCCCCAGAGCAUGCAGUGUCCAUCAUUGAUGCCACAUGA